UUCAAUUCCAUUGACAGAUGGAAAAUUUAGAAAGAUACAGGAAAGAAUAGUAUGGUUCCAUGUGCAAGAAUGACUCUAAUCUGUGAGAGUUGCAACAUUUGA
RNAcentral lists this small nuclear RNA (102 nucleotides) under Soboliphyme baturini. Lineage: Eukaryota; Metazoa; Nematoda; Enoplea; Dioctophymatida; Soboliphymatidae. The record is from RNAcentral.